CCCUGGGCCCAAGCAAUUCUCCCACAUCGACCUUCCCACAUCAGCCUCCAGAGUAACUAGGGCUACAGACACAUAUCACAGCACCCGGCUAAUUUUUUUUUUUUUUUCUAGAGACUGGGUUUCCCCAUGUUGCCCAGGCUGGCCUUGUACUCCUGGCCUCAAGCGAUCUUCCUGCCUUGGCCUCCCAAAGUGCUGGGAUUACAGGUGUGAGCCACUGCGUAAGCCACAUUAAGGACAUGGAUGAAACUGGAAACCAUCAUUCUCAGCAAACUAUCGCAAGGACAAAAAACCAAACACUGCAUGUUCUCACUCAUAGGUGGGAAUCGAACAAUGAGAACACAUGGACACAGGAAGGGGAACAUCACACACCGGGAACUGUUGUGGGGUGGGGGGAGGGGGGAGGGACAGCAUUAGGAGAUAUACCUAAUGUUAAAUGACGAGUUAAUGGGUACAGCACACCAACAUGGCACAUGUAUACAUAUGUAACUAACCUGCACAUUGUGCACAUGUACCCUAAAACUUAAAGUAUAAUAAUAAUAAAAUUAAAAAAAAAUCAUUGCCUUUAAUUGGUAUAGUUAGAACAUUUACAUUUAAAGCAAAUAUUUAUGGCACUGCAUUAAUAUUAAUAUCAAUCAUGAUUUUAUUAUUUUGUAUUUAUUGCACUUACUCGUUUUUUCUUCCUCUUCAUUUUUUCAUUCUCUGAUUUAAAUUUUGCAUACAAUUUAAUAUUAUUUCUUCUCUUAAGAAAUAAACUCUGCUUUCUAAAGAAGAAAAUAUCGAUUAUCUUAGAGUUUGUAAUAUACAUUUAUAGGAAUCUGGGUCCACUUUCAGAUGGCUCCUUAAAAGGGAAUAUUUCCAACUCUUGCUUCUGUUUCUUUAUAAAUUUGCUGUGAUUUAAUUCACUUAUCUGUAUGCUGUAAUCAAACAAUACAUUGUUACUCUUAUUACUGUGAACAAAAAAUUAAAUAGUAGAUAAAGUAAGAA
Molecule: long non-coding RNA, 984 nt
Organism: Homo sapiens (human)
Lineage: Eukaryota; Metazoa; Chordata; Mammalia; Primates; Hominidae
Source: Ensembl